This 655-nucleotide ribosomal RNA is filed under the name uncultured Actinoplanes sp. RNAcentral describes it as "bacterial SSU rRNA". It matches the Rfam family "Bacterial small subunit ribosomal RNA", at positions 231 to 886 of the family's 1533-position model. The record is from RNAcentral. Lineage: Bacteria; Bacillati; Actinomycetota; Actinomycetes; Micromonosporales; Micromonosporaceae.
UCGCGGCCUAUCAGCUUGUUGGCGGGGUAAUGGCCCACCAAGGCAGUGACGGGUAGCUGGUCUGAGAGGAUGGCCAGCCACACUGGGACUGAGACACGGCCCAGACUCCUACGGGAGGCAGCAGUGGGGAAUCUUGCACAAUGGGCGGAAGCCUGAUGCAGCGACGCCGCGUGAGGGAUGAAGGCCUUCGGGUUGUAAACCUCUUUCAGCCUUGACGAAGCGCCCUUUUGUGGGUGUGACGGUAGGGGCAGAAGAAGCGCCGGCCAACUACGUGCCAGCAGCCGCGGUAAGACGUAGGGCGCGAGCGUUGUCCGGAUUUAUUGGGCGUAAAGAGCUCGUAGGCGGCUUGUCGCGUCGUCCGUGAAAACCUGUGGCUUAACUACAGGCUUGCGGUCGAUACGGGCAGGCUAGAGUGCGGCAGGGGAGACUGGAAUUCCUGGUGUGGCGGUGAAAUGCGCAGAUAUCAGGAGGAACACCGGUGGCGAAGGCGGGUCUCUGGGCCGCUACUGACGCUGAGGAGCGAAAGCGUGGGGAGCGAACAGGAUUAGAUACCCUGGUAGUCCACGCUGUAAACGUUGGGCGCUAGGUGUGGGGGGCCUCUCCGGUUCUCCGUGCCGUAGCUAACGCAUUAAGCGCCCCGCCUGGGGAGUACGGA